Molecule: ribosomal RNA, 826 nt
Filed under: uncultured bacterium
Lineage: Bacteria
Description: bacterial SSU rRNA
Rfam family: Bacterial small subunit ribosomal RNA
Source: RNAcentral
ACGGUAACAGGUCUUCGGAUGCUGACGAGUGGCGAACGGGUGAGUAAUACAUCGGAACGUGCCCGAUCGUGGGGGAUAACGAAGCGAAAGCUUUGCUAAUACCGCAUAAGAUCUACGGAUGAAAGCAGGGGACCGCAAGGCCUUGCGCGAACGGAGCGGCCGAUGGCAGAUUAGGUAGUUGGUGGGAUAAAAGCUUACCAAGCCGACGAUCUGUAGCUGGUCUGAGAGGACGACCAGCCACACUGGGACUGAGACACGGCCCAGACUCCUACGGGAGGCAGCAGUGGGGAAUUUUGGACAAUGGGCGAAAGCCUGAUCCAGCCAUGCCGCGUGCAGGAUGAAGGCCUUCGGGUUGUAAACUGCUUUUGUACGGAACGAAAAGACUCUGGUUAAUACCUGGGGUCCAUGACGGUACCGUAAGAAUAAGCACCGGCUAACUACGUGCCAGCAGCCGCGGUAAUACGUAGGGUGCAAGCGUUAAUCGGAAUUACUGGGCGUAAAGCGUGCGCAGGCGGUUAUAUAAGACAGAUGUGAAAUCCCCGGGCUCAACCUGGGAACUGCAUUUGUGACUGUAUAGCUAGAGUACGGCAGAGGGGGAUGGAAUUCCGCGUGUAGCAGUGAAAUGCGUAGAUAUGCGGAGGAACACCGAUGGCGAAGGCAAUCCCCUGGGCCUGUACUGACGCUCAUGCACGAAAGCGUGGGAGCAAACAGGAUUAGAUACCCUGGUAGUCCACGCCCUAAACGAUGUCAACUGGUUGUUGGGUCUUCACUGACUCAGUAACGAAGCUAACGCGUGAAGUUGACCGCCUGGGGAGUACGGCCGCAA